UCCAUCAGAGACUUUAUAAACUUUGGGAUUUAAUAGAGUAACCUCCAGUGAUAUUAUCUUCUCUCUCUUUUUCAGUGUCGAUUGCCGUCUUAUUGUUCAGCUACAUACACCACAACGGCUCUUUUAAGAGCCACAUCUUGAGAACGUCUUUGACUUUCAGCUACAUACACCACAACGGCUCUUUUAAGAGCCACAUCUUGAGAACGUCUUUGACUUUAAAGUUCUCUACAGUCAACCACACUCACUCAACGAUAUCCACAGUUCACACUUGAUCAAAACCAAGGU
Carassius carassius (crucian carp) is the source of this 285-nucleotide long non-coding RNA. RefSeq lists it as uncharacterized. NCBI's taxonomy places the organism in Eukaryota, Metazoa, Chordata, Actinopteri, Cypriniformes, Cyprinidae. The record is from RefSeq and is a predicted model, not a curated record. The transcript is spliced from 4 exons.